GAGGAAUAUUGGUCAAUGGGCGAGAGCCUGAACCAGCCAAGUAGCGUGCAGGAUGACGGCCCUAUGGGUUGUAAACUGCUUUUAUGUGGGGAUAAAGUGAGCUACGUGUAGUUUAUUGCAGGUACCACAUGAAUAAGGACCGGCUAAUUCCGUGCCAGCAGCCGCGGUAAUACGGAAGGUCCAGGCGUUAUCCGGAUUUAUUGGGUUUAAAGGGAGCGUAGGCCGGAGAUUAAGUGUGUUGUGAAAUGUAGACGCUCAACGUCUGACUUGCAGCGCAUACUGGUUUCCUUGAGUACGCACAACGUUGGCGGAAUUCGUCGUGUAGCGGUGAAAUGCUUAGAUAUGACGAAGAACUCCGAUUGCGAAGGCAGCUGACGGGAGCGCAACUGACGCUUAAGCUCGAAGGUGCGGGUAUCGAACAGGAUUAGAUACCCUGGUAGUCCGCACAGUAAACGAUGGAUGCCCGCUGUUGGUACCUGGUAUCAGCGGCUAAGCGAAAGCAUUAAGCAUCCCACCUGGGGAGUACGCCGGCAACGGUG
Molecule: ribosomal RNA, 539 nt
Filed under: uncultured bacterium
Lineage: Bacteria
Description: bacterial SSU rRNA
Rfam family: Bacterial small subunit ribosomal RNA
Source: RNAcentral